RNAcentral lists this long non-coding RNA (620 nucleotides) under Anser brachyrhynchus (Pink-footed goose). RNAcentral describes it as "lncRNA (ENSABRG00000012790.1)". Lineage: Eukaryota; Metazoa; Chordata; Aves; Anseriformes; Anatidae. The record is from RNAcentral.
GAAGACUUUUUCUGUUCAGGAUGGAUGUGGUCCUCUUAUGCUUACGUGACACUUUUAUCUCUGCAAGCAUAUUCAAAAUAUGCUGUAAAUGGUCCCCCAAAAGAAAGUGAACGAUGAGUCCUUGAUCGAUUUGGACAAGUCGCUGCUUAGUGUAAGCCAUAAAGAAUGACUAUAAUGUCCUGACAACAUUGUGAACAUUUGGCUACAGGAGGUCAAGCUCAAAGACUGUGUGGGUGACUCUUAUCCGUAAAGAUCGUCACGGAGGAGUCAGAGCUUGUCUGAUGGUGCUGCUGAUCCCCAUUCAGCAACGCAUUUAAGCAUCUGUUUAUGGCUGUUACAGUCCUGUGGCCAUUCAUCCUGCAAACUGCAGGGGAGCAUGUUUACAGUGGAUUCCCACAUCAGAAGUAGUGACAUCAGUGAUUCCUCUUGCAAUUUCCCAUCGGUGCCCCAGGGACAGGGCUGGUCUUCCUUUGGUAGCACGCGCUGAGGUCUGGGGACAGCAGGUGCUGUGAUACGCCGAAGUGCUCAUGCUCUCCUGAGGCGUUAAAGCCAGGGUAAGUCGCAGGAGUCACUGCAGUGCUUAGCCUGUACGAGGCUCUGAUAGCUCGUUAUUUCUUUAU